This 571-nucleotide ribosomal RNA is filed under the name uncultured bacterium. RNAcentral's name for it is "partial 16S ribosomal RNA". It matches the Rfam family "Bacterial small subunit ribosomal RNA", at positions 355 to 914 of the family's 1533-position model. The record is from RNAcentral.
UGGGGAAUAUUGCACAAUGGGCGCAAGCCUGAUGCAGCCAUGCCGCGUGUGUGAAGAAGGCCUUCGGGUUGUAAAGCACUUUCAGCGAGGAGGAAGGUGGUGAGCUUAAUACGCUCAUCAAUUGACGUUACUCGCAGAAGAAGCACCGGCUAACUCCGUGCCAGCAGCCGCGGUAAUACGGAGGGUGCAAGCGUUAAUCGGAAUUACUGGGCGUAAAGCGCACGCAGGCGGUUUGUUAAGUCAGAUGUGAAAUCCCCGGGCUCAACCUGGGAACUGCAUUUGAAACUGGCAAGCUAGAGUCUCGUAGAGGGGGGUAGAAUUCCAGGUGUAGCGGUGAAAUGCGUAGAGAUCUGGAGGAAUACCGGUGGCGAAGGCGGCCCCCUGGACGAAGACUGACGCUCAGGUGCGAAAAGCGUGGGGAGCAAAACAGGAUUAGAUACCCUGGUAGUCCACGCUGUAAAACGAUGUCGAUUUUGGAGGUUGUGCCCUUGAGGCGUGGCUUCCGGAGCUAACGCGUUAAAUCGACCGCCUGGGGAGUACGGCCGCAAGGUUAAAACUCAAAGGAAUUGAC